GUCUCAGCCGCUUCCUGUCAGCGCCAGGAGCGGGGAUUCCCGGGGUCCCGGGCAGGUACCUGGACAGCGCAGGUCCUCGCAAGGCCGUUUCUCAGGGACGCCGGCCUCGCCACUGACGUAGCACCAGGGCCCGCGCGGGUCCUCGUCCGGGUUUCGGCAGUAACUGUGAUUGCCGGCCCCUAAGAGAGGAGAGAAGGAAAUGUGUGCCGGGGCUGGCACCGGGAACGCGGCCGCCGCCCGCCAGCCCCGGGGCCGUCCCCCGGAGGACACUUACCCGACACGGGGGCCGAGGCCAGCCCGCUCUGCGCGUCCAGCCAGUUGAGGCAGCGGAGGCCCGGCGCGGGGGAGGUCUGGUCCUCCCGGUACAGGUGGCCGUUGUCCCAGAAACAGCCUGUGAGGAAAAGAAGCCCCCGGACACAGAAUAGCGGGCAGCGAACGGAAGACGCCCAGCGUGGCGGACAGGGGAGCCGGGACCACCCGGGCUGAACCUCAGCCUGGUUAGGGGACCCCGGGCCCUGCUGGGCCUCCCUCUCCUCUCGUGGCAACACCCCCACGCCCCACGCACCCCCCCCCCCCAACUCCACGCACACCUCAGGGUGUGAAGCCCCCAGCCUGUGCCUGUCCCCCAGUCAACGCUCAGAGACUGUUAGGUUUUAUUUAUUUUUGAAACCUGGAAAGCGCUGCAGAAGUGCAAAGCGUUGUUACUCUUGAACUUGUGACCACUUUGGAGGAGGAGAUGGAGAGGAGGAGGCCUGGCUUAGGGUCCCUUUGAGGAGCUGGGAGUUUUGGGACGGGGGGCGCCCAGACGUGACAUUUGUCCCUGUGUUGUAAUGGCCACGUUACAUAAACUCCGGUGUUUCCUCCUUCACGGAUACGGCCACCUUCUGCCCGUUUAAAAGGCAAAUACUCCCUCCCAGGAGAAUUCUCCAGGAGCCUUGACUCCGUCAGGCAAAAGAUUCAAGACAGCCUCAAACGGAGGAAACCGGCCUCAUCGCUGACUGGAUGAGACUCCAAGCUCCCACUCCCCUCUGCAGGAGAACCACAGAAGGAGGCUGGGGAAGGAGGACCACACCAUGCAAAGGGCUUAGAAAGAACAGGACUUGGGGAGUAGGGGAGAUGAACCCCCAAGCUCCAUCCACUCAUGAGCAAGGAAAGGCAGAGAGAAAGUGGCUUCUUGCCUUUGUUCUUAAUGGCAAAGAUGGAGCUGCAAGCCCCUGACAAGGAAAGGAGGGGUGGAAAAGCUUUCACGGGACAACAGAAACCGGCUAAACGCUUCGUUUCCUGUCAUCCUGGCCCUGUUUGGGAAAUAGGGGGCUUUACCCCUUCUGUUUCAUGAAGUUGCUGCGGAAAGGAAAGAUUGUAAUCUCACCUCCAGAUCCAUAGGCUUCUGCUAGGAGCAUGUUGCUGACGAGGAAUGCUUGUACCCAGGCCAACAGCAUCCUUGCCUCCUUCGUCUUGCAGGUGAUUGAACGACCAGUGUUUAACCGAGGCCCCCUUGGCGGCGGCUCUGCCUCCCAGUCCCAGCCUUGCAGUCAGACCUGCCCUUGUUAUGCUGUUCUGGUAAACAGCCUCUCUUUAGAACUGGGAGCUUCCCAGCUAGCUUGCUGCAGCGCGAGCUGUUUUUCAGCUGAAAGGCGCCCCCUGGGUCCUAAGCCUCCUAGGUCAUGCAAAAUCUAACUGAGCCAAGAAAGGAACUCAGCCAAGAGAUAUGCAGGUUGUGCUUAGCAGCCGAUCAGUUUGAGACCUGCGAGGCCGCAUCCCCAGGGUUUUUCAUCUCUUCUGUUUCCAUUUGUAACACUUCAUCACCCC
This 1809-nucleotide long non-coding RNA is filed under the name Homo sapiens (human). RNAcentral describes it as "HSALNT0405725". Lineage: Eukaryota; Metazoa; Chordata; Mammalia; Primates; Hominidae. The record is from RNAcentral.